ACUGUGUACGUCCCCCCCCCCCCCCCCCCCUUUGAGACACCAUUGAAGGGCCAGUGGUUACGCAGGCAGGCUGGAUAUUACGACACAAUUGGCAUGCAUUGGGUGAUGCAGGCAGACUGCUUAGUGUGCACCACUCGUCGUUUAGUCUAUUGAGGUGCUACAAGUGUUGUGUCAGUCUAUUUCCUCUCCGAAAAUAAAAUGUUGGGCUCUACA
This is a long non-coding RNA of Ornithodoros turicata, 213 nucleotides long. RefSeq lists it as uncharacterized. The transcript is spliced from 2 exons. Lineage: Eukaryota; Metazoa; Arthropoda; Arachnida; Ixodida; Argasidae. The record is from RefSeq and is a predicted model, not a curated record.